AAUAGUUCUAUUUUAUUUUCCCUUGUGAAGUGAGCAUUGUAACCCAGUGUUGUUGCUAACAUUAUUGUUGUUCAGUCGCUAAGUUGCUAACAUUAAAUUAAGCACGGAGUGGAGUGACUAUCAUAUUAUACAGUCUCAUUAAAUCUUAAGUAUUUUUAUGAUAAUUUUAAGUCCCUGUGUUGUUUAAAAUCUUAAUCUUUACUGUGUUUUGGUUUCUGUUUAUGCUCUUCUAAAUUACAGCUUCAUACUCCAGAAGUAUUCCUUUGUCUUUCCUCUUUAUAGCAAAUAUGACUUCCUUCUCUUCAACUCCAAAAUCCUUAUCAAAGUAACACACUGAUGGUUUCAUGGGCAAAUGAUAUCUAGAAUUUCUAUUUGGCUGUGAGAAAUAAUUUAAAAAUUAUUUGAGAACAAU
RNAcentral lists this long non-coding RNA (412 nucleotides) under Bos taurus (domestic cattle). Its description in RNAcentral is "long non-coding RNA NONBTAT014969". The record is from RNAcentral. Lineage: Eukaryota; Metazoa; Chordata; Mammalia; Artiodactyla; Bovidae.